This 220-nucleotide long non-coding RNA is filed under the name Elaeis guineensis (African oil palm). RNAcentral describes it as "long non-coding RNA (EGUI_LNC032190)". Lineage: Eukaryota; Viridiplantae; Streptophyta; Magnoliopsida; Arecales; Arecaceae. The record is from RNAcentral.
GAUAUGGACUUUUUAGAUUCAGAGGGAUUUGAGAUUGCUAACUUAAUUAGAGUCAUAGGAUGAAAAUUUAUCUACACUGCUGAAGCUCCGAUAUUUAUGAAGUUAGUUACAAAAUUUUAUGAAAAUAUUUUAUUUGAAGAACAUACUGUACUAUCUUUAGUGAAGGGAGAAGAAAUUUAUUUGGAUGAUAAAAUAUUAGAAGAAAUUUUAAAACCUCUGA